UUAAAUGUGUGUGACGUUUAACCACAGUCCAUCUAAAAUUAUACCUUUAGUUCUAAAAUAAUGAAAUUUUGCUUAAUGUAAAACAAAUAUUUGUCCACAUCCAUUUUCUUCUAUUAUUGUGUUUUUUGACAAUUAAAUGUUUCACAUUCUGUGAUGAUCCUGGCACUGCAGCUGAUCCUGCUCACUAUCAACUCACCUGUUCAGUCUCCACCCUCUUUGCAAUCAACCCCGACUGGUUCCACCUGUCUUCACCUGCAUAUAAGCUCCGUCCAAGUCAGCCUCCAGUGCCAGAUUGUCUCAAGCCACCCGCACGAGCCUUCCAGCGUUACUUAUUCUGCCUGUCUGUGUCUGACCUCCGUUACCGAGCAUGCCUGUCCCCUUUAACUGUCUGUUCCUGUGGAUAUUGGACCUGGAACUGAACCUGGAACCCCAAACCCUCCCGCCUGUCUCUAGCUGACUCUCUGCGCCCAGGCUCCUCUCGUUAUCCGGUUAGUCUCUCAGUCUGUUCCACGUUGCUAACCUGCCACUGCAGCCGCUAACCUGUCCCUCUGCCUCCAGGGAGCUCCAGUCCGUUAGCGAGAGCUGCACGCUCGAGAGCCGGCGCUGUUCAACCCUGCUUCUCGAUAAACUGUUUGAAACAGUUGAACUGACCUGUCGUGGUUGAAUCUUGGGUCCGAAUCUGGUACAUUACACAUUCUCAAACAAACUUUAGGAUCAGACAAAGAUUACAGGAAUAUGUACAAAAUGCAUUUUUCAAAUGAUAUAAUUUAUUAAGGCAAAAAAAAAAACAAUCCAAACCAGCCUCACUCUAUUUGAAAAAGUUUUUGCACCCUAAACCUAAACACUGCUUGUGCUAUUCUGUCAAGUCAACUGGCAAUGGCUCCAUCUUCUUUGCGGAAUUGUUUUAAUUCUGCUACAAAGCAUGGUUGUCGAACAUAAACCGCCUGUUUAAUUGGAUAUUAGUCCUCAGUUUGACUAUGUCCCUUCAAAACCUUUCCUUUCUUUUGAGCUAUUUAGAGAUGGACUUGGUGGUGCAUGACCCCAGGGUGCUUGGGCCUACGGUCAGAAACUAAUGGCUUAAAAGCAGGAUCCAUGCUUUACAACGAUGGACGUGAUGCCACCUGUCAAUCAAUCCUGGUGGCUCAUCAGCAACUGAACAAUCAGUGAUCGCCAUUUGUUCCCAAGUUGAUUGGGAACAAAUGGGGCUGGGUCCGUGACCACUGCUUAAAGCAUCAUUAUUUGAUGCUUACCUGCAGGCCUUUUACCUCCAAUGACAUUAUUAUACAAUAAUAUGUCUGCUCGGCUUGAACUCUGACUCCCAGUGUGCCUGACUUCACCUUGCAGCGUACACUGUAUCGAAGAGACCCAAGAAUUCUCUGAGUUUCCUCACGUUUGAACACGUGGUGGACCCCAUGAUGUUUCACUGGACAAAAGCUGCACAUAGCCUUUUUCCCUUCAAAGAAGAGCUUUUAAGUUUGGAACCAACAGACAAAUCUGUGUGGUCUCCCUUUUACACUCUGUCGUAGGAUUGACAGAGGAGGGCUAGACUCAAUUUCAAGCGCACAACCUCAAGGAGAAGACGAGAAGUCCUCACCCUUUUACGUCAACAGAUGAGGCGACAUUCUUUCCUGCUUUGGCCAAGCAGUUCACAAGGACAGCUACUGCGAUCUCAGCUCCGCACACACCGGAUGAGCCGACACACCUGCAACCGCCACUGAAGCCAGCGUGACACAGCUAGGACCCACCAGCCUCUUGCGCUGAGCUAAACUACAUUCCUGGGUCGUUCCUGGACUGGUCUGCCGACAGGGAGUACCAGGGGGGAAGAAACCAUUUAAUAUCUUAUAGAGCUAGAAAUCAAUACUGGGCCUGGGCAGAGGUUUUGAUUUGAAGUAGGUUUAAUCCUGAUAUUUUACUCCAGAAGGAGUUCUGUUGAAUGUCUUCCCAUUGUGACAUAAUUCAUGUGAUAAUCUGCUUAUUGUGGUCAUUUUGGUUUGGUCAUUUUGGUUUCUGUGAAACAACUGCGCUGACGGCUGAGAUUAUUAUCCUGGAUUUUAUCAUUAAGCUCCAUUUUCUUUUCGUAUCCUCUCUUUUCCCGUUUCUUGGUUUUCCCAUGGAUAUUGUUUGAAGCUCACUAUUUUUAGCCAGGUAGCUAUUGUUUCGAGUUAGUCCCUCCGUUUGCCUUCCCUCACGGUUGCCUGGGCUAACAAUUGUUAGCAGCUAGCUUAUUGUCUUAGCCCGCUAUUUGGAGGCUUUAGUUAUAAACUGUUUUGAAGCUAACUGUGGCUAGUGGGUUAGCUAUUGUCUGGAUCGCCGCUUAUGGUAAACUGAUUUACCAUUAGGCAAAACUUGGCAGUUGCCCAUAUAAUUCCUUAUACAUGUAUGGUUAAUGCAGUUAUUACUCAUUUGUACACAUUAAUUGUGUUUUUGAUUAAAAUCCUUUUGCUAAAAUACCCACCUUCAGUCUCCACUACAUUGGAUCAGUCCAUCUUGCUGCACAUGUGCAGAAGGGUCCAGGCAGACCGCAGCAAACCAUUUGAAAACAAAUUUACAUCCUUUCAGAAAAAGUAUUCUUUUGUGCUACACAGCAAGGUUACCUUCUCUGUAACCAGGCCAGACUGACUCAAUAGGGCCAGUAGCUCUUUUUAUAAAUUCUAAGCCCCGCCCUACAAUUAGAUCAGCAAACAAUUGAGCAUUUAUUUUAUGACAUAACACAAAAAAACACUUAUCCCAAGAAAACAUAUUCAUUUCCUGCUUCCAUUCCAAAGCUACUUUCUUUAGUUAAAAAAAAAAUACAAUUAAGCUUGCUGGCGAAAAAUCACUGAUUUCCUUUAUAGGAAAAAACAACAGGAAAAAGAAACCAGAAGUAUUACGCCCACCUUCUUUCAAACGCCACAGUCGGACAAAACAAAGCUACAUGGAAUGAGACAGGGAUGGGCUGUGACAGAGAGAGUUCAAAAAUGAUCCAACCAGGCUUUGAUAAUGAUGUUGUUCCACCAGACUGUGAGUCCAGCAUCAUUCACUCUGCUGGUAAGCAGUCAGCACAGUGGACUUCCUGAAGAUGACCCAGCUCUGGCCAAAACAGCUGUCUGAUCGUCCACGCUGCUCAAUAGUACUGAGAGGACCGCUCCAGGUGAAGAACGGGAUCUUCCCAUGAAAUGAAGACAGGACAUCCAAGAGCCCGACAUUGACUGGGACGUUGCUGCUGAGUAUGAUGGACAUGUGGAUGGUGCAAUAGUGGUCUCUGAAUUUCCAUGUCCACUCAAUGAACAGCAACUGGCUGAGGUGCAGUUGCUGCUUGAAAAUGAAGCUGAGAGUGAUGUUCCUGAACUUUUUCUACUAUGUCAUGAAUAUGUGAUUACAGCUUUGUCAGGUGCUAAGUAGCCUAUAAAUGAACAAUGGCAUAUUUUGACCCAACAUAAAUAAACAUUGCCCAUUAUGGCCACGGCUUUGCUUUUUUCUAUUCAAUACAAAAAAAAAUUUUUUUGUCAUAGGGCAAUAAAAGCUGAAUGGUUUCUUUUUUAAAUGGAUUUCCAGUCCCAAAUUUAUACUGAAAUAAUUAUGUUCAAAGGUAAGUACUUUAAACUGUGAUGAAUUGAUGAGCUAUCUUGAGUGUGAGUUUCUUGCCUGUAGCCUGUUGAUAGACUCAGAGCAACGUGAACAAAUUAAUACAGUAACUUUUCUUUUUUGGUGGUUGGAGGGGAGUUGAUGCACAGGUAAUGCACUAUUUUCUGGCUGCUAAUGUCUGAUUCAGACAAUAUCCCUGGGUUUAUAUGGACAUUUUAAUUGGUUAUCAUCCCAGUCAUGCAAGACCAUAGAAAAUGUUAAACUUGCAGGAGAGCUUGGGUUCCAGGAAAAUCUGAGGCACAGUUAAUGCUUUAAAGAAGGUCCCUAAACAUUUCAACGGGAGCUUAUGAUAGGCCCUAUUGGUGUAUCCUACCUAGUGCAUCAGAUUUAAAUAUAAAUGCUGAUUUUUAGAGAUAGAUGGAAUGUUAUUUGAAUUACCAUGAAAAAUAAGCAAAAGUAGUUUUGUGUACACAAAACUACACAACGUUGCUCCCCAUUGUGAUAAAAUAAACGGAACAUGUAACAGGUUGAUAAAGUUGUUGUUUUAAAACGUACACGUUAAUGUAAUUCUUUAAAUCUAACCCUUAUCUACUAUUAAUGUGUCUUCACAUUAGUUUAUUUUAUUUUUAACUUGGAUAGAGUGGGUAUUACAGUAUUGUCACAGUUUUUUGUAACUCAUUAAAACAAAUACACAGUAGACUGGCAAGCAAAUUUAUUUAUAAAGCCCAAUUCAUACACUGGCUUAUUCAUACUGCAUUCAGUCAAAUCCAAGAUAAAGUGCACCAAAAGCUUUACUGAUUCUGUAUUUAAAUAAUUUUGAUUCAGAGGGAAAAAAAUGAAAUAUCUAGGUGACUCCUAUAUGAAUUGUGCUUAUUGCUGAAGGAGUGGAGACUUGUAGUGAACCCUUAUAGUCUUAUCGACUAUUUAAUAGUUAACAUAAUGAAUAUGGUUGCUCAUUUCAGAGAUAGACUUACCACUGGG
Fundulus heteroclitus (mummichog) is the source of this 4545-nucleotide long non-coding RNA. RefSeq lists it as uncharacterized. Lineage: Eukaryota; Metazoa; Chordata; Actinopteri; Cyprinodontiformes; Fundulidae. The transcript is spliced from 3 exons. The record is from RefSeq and is a predicted model, not a curated record.